AUCGAGAUUAGCGGAACGCUCUGGAAAGGGCGGCCAUAGUGGGUGAUAGCCCUGUACGCGAAAGUCUCUUUGCAAUGAAAUCGAGUAGGACGGGGCACGAGAAACCUUGUCUGAAUAUGGGGGGACCAUCCUCCAAGGCUAAAUACUACUGACUGACCGAUAGUGAACCAGUACCGUGAGGGAAAGGCGAAAAGAACCGCGGAGAGCGGAGUGAAAUAGAUCCUGAAACCGUAUGCGUACAAGCAGUGGGAGCCCACUUUGAACCAGUACCGUGAGGGAAAGGCGAAAAGAACCGCGGAGAGCGGAGUGAAAUAGAUCCUGAAACCGUAUGCGUACAAGCAGUGGGAGCCCACUUUGUUGGGUGACUGCGUACCUUUUGUAUAAUGGGUCAGCGACUUAUUUUCAGUGGCAAGCUUAACCGAAUAGGGGAGGCGUAGCGAAAGCGAGUUUGUUGGGUGACUGCGUACCUUUUGUAUAAUGGGUCAGCGACUUAUUUUCAGUGGCAAGCUUAACCGAAUAGGGGAGGCGUAGCGAAAGCGAGUCUUAAUAGGGCGUCUAGUCGCUGGGAAUAGACCCGAAACCGGGCGAUCUAUCCAUGGGCAGGUUGAAGGUUAGGUAACACUGACUGGAGGACCGAACCGACUACCGUUGAAAAGUUAGCGGAUGACCUGUGGAUCGGAGUGAAAGGCUAAUCAAGCUCGGAGAUAGCUGGUUCUCCUCGAAAGCUAUUUAGGUAGCGCCUCAUGUAUCACUGUAGGGGGUAGAGCACUGUUUCGGCUAGGGGGUCAUCCCGACUUACCAAACCGAUGCAAACUCCGAAUACCUACAAGUGCCGAGCAUGGGAGACACACGGCGGGUGCUAACGUCCGUCGUGAAAAGGGAAACAACCCAGACCGUCAGCUAAGGUCCCAAAGUCAUGGUUAAGUGGGAAACGAUGUGGGAAGGCUUAGACAGCUAGGAGGUUGGCUUAGAAGCAGCCACCCUUUAAAGAAAGCGUAAUAGCUCACUAGUCGAGUCGGCCUGCGCGGAAGAUGUAACGGGGCUCAAACCAUGCACCGAAGCUACGGGUAUCAUCCCUUUAAAGAAAGCGUAAUAGCUCACUAGUCGAGUCGGCCUGCGCGGAAGAUGUAACGGGGCUCAAACCAUGCACCGAAGCUACGGGUAUCAUCUUUUGAUGAUGCGGUAGAGGAGCGUUCUGUAAGCCUGUGAAGGUGAGUUGAGAAGCUUGCUGGAGGUAUCAGAAGUGCGAAUGCUGACAUGAGUUGAUGCGGUAGAGGAGCGUUCUGUAAGCCUGUGAAGGUGAGUUGAGAAGCUUGCUGGAGGUAUCAGAAGUGCGAAUGCUGACAUGAGUAACGACAAUGGGUGUGAAAAACACCCACGCCGAAAGACCAAGGUUUCCUGCGCAACGUUAAUCGACGCAGGGUUAGUCGGUCCCUAAGGCGAGGCUGAAAAGCGUAGUCGAUGGAAAACAGGUUAAUAUUCCUGUACUUCUGGUUAUUGCGAUGGAGGGACGGAGAAGGCUAGGCCAGCCUGGCGUUGGUUGUCCAGGUUUAAGGUGGUAGGCUGAAAUCUUAGGUAAAUCCGGGGUUUCAAGGCCGAGAGCUGAUGACGAGUGUUCCUUUGGAACACGAAGUGGUUGAUGCCAUGCUUCCAAGAAAAGCUUCUAAGCUUCAGGUAACCAGGAACCGUACCCCAAACCGACACAGGUGGUUGGGUAGAGAAUACCAAGGCGCUUGAGAGAACUCGGGUGAAGGAACUAGGCAAAAUGGCACCGUAACUUCGGGAGAAGGUGCGCCGGUGAGGGUGAAGCAUUUACUGCGUAAGCCCACGCCGGUCGAAGAUACCAGGCCGCUGCGACUGUUUAUUAAAAACACAGCACUCUGCAAACACGAAAGUGGACGUAUAGGGUGUGACGCCUGCCCGGUGCCGGAAGGUUAAUUGAUGGGGUUAGCGCAAGCGAAGCUCUUGAUCGAAGCCCCGGUAAACGGCGGCCGUAACUAUAACGGUCCUAAGGUAGCGAAAUUCCUUGUCGGGUAAGUUCCGACCUGCACGAAUGGCGUAACGAUGGCGGCGCUGUCUCCACCCGAGACUCAGUGAAAUUGAAAUCGCUGUGAAGAUGCAGUGUAUCCGCGGCUAGACGGAAAGACCCCGUGAACCUUUACUAUAGCUUUGCACUGGACUUUGAAUUUGCUUGUGUAGGAUAGGUGGGAGGCUUUGAAGCGUGGACGCCAGUCUGCGUGGAGCCAACCUUGAAAUACCACCCUGGCAACUUUGAGGUUCUAACUCAGGUCCGUUAUCCGGAUCGAGGACAGUGUAUGGUGGGUAGUUUGACUGGGGCGGUCUCCUCCUAAAGAGUAACGGAGGAGUACGAAGGUGCGCUCAGACCGGUCGGAAAUCGGUCGUAGAGUAUAAAGGCAAAAGCGCGCUUGACUGCGAGACAGACACGUCGAGCAGGUACGAAAGUAGGUCUUAGUGAUCCGGUGGUUCUGUAUGGAAGGGCCAUCGCUCAACGGAUAAAAGGUACUCCGGGGAUAACAGGCUGAUACCGCCCAAGAGUUCAUAUCGACGGCGGUGUUUGGCACCUCGAUGUCGGCUCAUCACAUCCUGGGGCUGAAGCCGGUCCCAAGGGUAUGGCUGUUCGCCAUUUAAAGUGGUACGCGAGCUGGGUUUAGAACGUCGUGAGACAGUUCGGUCCCUAUCUGCCGUGGACGUUUGAGAUUUGAGAGGGGCUGCUCCUAGUACGAGAGGACCGGAGUGGACGAACCUCUGGUGUUCCGGUUGUCACGCCAGUGGCAUUGCCGGGUAGCUAUGUUCGGAAAAGAUAACCGCUGAAAGCAUCUAAGCGGGAAACUUGCCUCAAGAUGAGAUCUCACUGGAACCUUGAGUUCCCUAAAGGGCCGUCGAAGACUACGACGUUGAUAGGUUGGGUGUGUAAGCGCUGUGAGGCGUUGAGCUAACCAAUACUAAUUGCCCGUGAGGCUUGACCAUAUAACACCCAAGCA
RNAcentral lists this ribosomal RNA (3002 nucleotides) under Pseudomonas viridiflava. RNAcentral's name for it is "bacterial LSU rRNA". It matches the Rfam family "Bacterial large subunit ribosomal RNA", at positions 322 to 2925 of the family's 2925-position model. Lineage: Bacteria; Pseudomonadati; Pseudomonadota; Gammaproteobacteria; Pseudomonadales; Pseudomonadaceae. The record is from RNAcentral.